AAUCCCUUGGCGCAACGGUAGCGCGUCUGACUCCAGAUCAGAAGGCUAAAUGUUCAAAUCACUUAGGGGUCA
Molecule: non-coding RNA, 72 nt
Organism: Cladochytrium replicatum
Lineage: Eukaryota; Fungi; Chytridiomycota; Chytridiomycetes; Cladochytriales; Cladochytriaceae
Source: the annotation of a GenBank genome assembly